UACGUAGGGUGCAAGCGUUAAUCGGAAUUACUGGGCGUAAAGCGUGCGCAGGCGGUUUUGUAAGUCUGUCGUGAAAUCCCCGGGCUCAACCUGGGAAUGGCGAUGGAGACUGCAAGGCUAGAGUUUGGCAGAGGGGGGUAGAAUUCCACGUGUAGCAGUGAAAUGCGUAGAGAUGUGGAGGAACACCGAUGGCGAAGGCAGCCCCCUGGGUCAACACUGACGCUCAUGCACGAAAGCGUGGGGAGCAAACAGG
This 253-nucleotide ribosomal RNA is filed under the name uncultured bacterium. Its description in RNAcentral is "partial 16S ribosomal RNA". It matches the Rfam family "Bacterial small subunit ribosomal RNA", at positions 524 to 776 of the family's 1533-position model. The record is from RNAcentral.